GCCCUCGUGGCGCACCGGAGAGCGCGCCUGUUUCCGAAACAGGAGGUCGCUGGUUCGAUUCCAGCCGGGGGCA
RNAcentral lists this transfer RNA (73 nucleotides) under Nonomuraea diastatica. Its description in RNAcentral is "Nonomuraea sp. KC712 tRNA-Arg". It matches the Rfam family "tRNA". Rfam says of the family: Transfer RNA (tRNA) molecules are approximately 80 nucleotides in length. Their secondary structure includes four short double-helical elements and three loops (D, anti-codon, and T loops). Lineage: Bacteria; Bacillati; Actinomycetota; Actinomycetes; Streptosporangiales; Streptosporangiaceae. The record is from RNAcentral.